GCCCCGGUAGUUCAAUGGAUAGAACGGACCCCUCCUAAGGGUCAGAUAGUGGUUCGAUUCCACUCCGGGGUA
Molecule: transfer RNA, 72 nt
Filed under: Lampropedia cohaerens
Lineage: Bacteria; Pseudomonadati; Pseudomonadota; Betaproteobacteria; Burkholderiales; Comamonadaceae
Rfam family: tRNA
About the family: Transfer RNA (tRNA) molecules are approximately 80 nucleotides in length.
Source: Rfam by way of RNAcentral